RNAcentral lists this non-coding RNA (30 nucleotides) under Mus musculus (house mouse). Lineage: Eukaryota; Metazoa; Chordata; Mammalia; Rodentia; Muridae. The record is from RNAcentral.
UGGGUGAAAGUAUAUUUGAUAGAAAUAUGA